This 168-nucleotide unclassified non-coding RNA is filed under the name soil metagenome. RNAcentral describes it as "partial internal transcribed spacer 1". The record is from RNAcentral.
CAGAGUUUACAAAACUCCCUAAAACCCAUUGUGAACCUACCCCUACUAGGUUGCUUCGGCGGGAUGCCGGCGCUCGGGCCCGGAUCAGGCGCCCGCCUAGGAACCACUAAACUCUUGUUUUAUUUUGGACACUGCCUCUCUGAGUAGUUCUUACUUAAAUAAAGUCAA